AAGAGAGACAUUAGAACUGCUAAUUCUUACCACCGACACUAAACCUUCGGAUCUCUUA
This 58-nucleotide transfer RNA is filed under the name Leiolepis guttata (spotted butterfly lizard). Its description in RNAcentral is "tRNA-Ser specifying AGY codons". The record is from RNAcentral. Lineage: Eukaryota; Metazoa; Chordata; Lepidosauria; Squamata; Agamidae.